UCAUUUUAUUCUGAAAUCCGUGUUCGUCAGUGAUCUGUUUGAUACUUGCCAGAAUGUUAGAAAAUUAGAGAAUGGUUUUGUUUGUCUAAUUUUCGGGCUCUAGAGAGAAAACCCAUGAUGGGUACCGUUUGUUUUUGUCAGUCGAGUGAGAUUAUUCACCAUUUGGGAAGAAUUCGUAAUAAUUCUUUCUGGGUUAGUUGUGUUAGCCUUCGUAGCAGUCAAAUAGAACUAAAAGGUGAAUUAUUUUUUGUUUAUUUAAUUUUUGAAUAUGGUAUGGUGUAUGGGAUUUCAGUCCAAUGCAGUCCAAGGGUUUGCCUAUGUUAUAUUUUCUUUUUCUGAGUUUUUAGGUCAGUUGUUAGUUAGUACUGUCUUAGUUUUGUUGGUUUCGAGAAUUUUCUUCGGUUUGGGUAGGAAAUUAGAGGCAGAAAUGAAUGUAAAAGAUGCCCCUGAUUCUAAUUAAGUUAUAGGGUUUUAACGUGGAUAUUGAGAUAAAUCCUUCUCUUUGAAGUAGAAUAUUUCAUGAGAACGAAACUGCUGGCUAAUAUCUGGAGUAUUAGUUCUGGGUCUAAUUCCAUUCGUUCCUUCCCAUUUUGUGUUCUGUAAUGGUCAAUGCUUAAGCUCUGCGUGUUAUUGACCUAGUGGCUUUGUCUGCUGUGCUGAGACGUUGUUGGAUGCUAAAUGAAAGUCAAUUUAUUUUCUUUGAAUGGUUAAGUUACAACAUCUUGGUUGGAUGUGGAAAUUAAUUUGAGUUUUCUAUUGCUAUAACACUUAUUGGCCUCUGGUAAAUAUGUGAAAUUGUUCCUGUAGUUGAACAAUCUGCUUAAUGGAAUGAUGGAUGUUUAUAAAAUGGUUAGAUGGAAAGCUGACCAUUUGUAGUUUCAUUUAUUUGGUUGAAUAGAUUGAUUUCCUCUAGGAAAUUUAUGUUUCAACAUGUUUUUGUGCAAUAAACUUUUGUUUACCUUAAAUUGUAUUUUGAAUUUGAAUAUUAAAUCCACAAAGCAAGUAAGGUUAAACUGAUCUUAGGAUUUUUUGAAUGGAUAAGACAUAAUCAUAUGAGCAUUAGAAUAAUAUAGAAUAACCUUGGGAGGUAGAUUUCUCUUAGAGAAGCUGAGAAAGAUUUAAGAGAUUGUUUAAGUUAUUAGCUGAUGAAGAUAUAGGGGAUUUGGUUAUGUUAUUGGCUAAUUUCUUAAAAUAUAUGAAACUUAUCUUGUAACUUGUAUACGUUAACUUUCUUGUAUAUCAUAGCUGUCUCUUUAGAAGACUAGAUUCAUAAUGAUGGGAAGGCAAGUAAUUGAC
RNAcentral lists this long non-coding RNA (1296 nucleotides) under Prunus persica (peach). RNAcentral describes it as "long non-coding RNA (PPER_LNC004060)". The record is from RNAcentral. Lineage: Eukaryota; Viridiplantae; Streptophyta; Magnoliopsida; Rosales; Rosaceae.